UGAAGGUCGAGCUGUGCAGUU
This 21-nucleotide non-coding RNA is filed under the name Mus musculus (house mouse). The record is from RNAcentral. Lineage: Eukaryota; Metazoa; Chordata; Mammalia; Rodentia; Muridae.